GCAACUCCCGGAUACUGUGCACCUCUUUCCACUCUCAGAUGCUUCUGAGCAUGCAAAGAAGCUUCCAGAAUCUUCCGCGCCUGCGCCGCAGGCCCCGCCGCGCUUCACUUCUCCUCUACCGUUUCUACACCCGCACGCCGCCUCCGCCUCCGCAUCGUGCCGGCGACAUCGUCCGAUGGAACUCCGCCAUCACCGCGCACCUCCGCGCCGGCAGGGUGGGCGCCGCGCGCCGCGUGUUCGACGAAAUGCCCGAGCGGAACGUGUUCACGUGGAACUGCAUGAUCUCGGGCCUCGUCAGGAACCGGAUGCUCGCCGACGCGCGCAGGGUGUUCGACGCGAUGCCGUUCAGGAACUCCGUCUCGUGGGCCGCGCUGCUGACGGGCUACGCACGGUGCGGGAGGGUCGCCGAUGCCAGGGAGCUGUUCGACCGGAUGCCUGACCGGAACGUGGUUUCAUGGAACGCGAUGAUGUCGGGCUACGUGCGGAACGGGAUGGUCGACAGGGCGCGUGAGCUGUUCGACGUGAUGCCGUCGAGGGAUGACAUUUCGUGGCUGACGAUGAUCUCCGGGUAUAUGAAGAGGAAGCGUGUCCGUGAAGCAAGGGAGCUCUUUGACCAUGCGCCUUCACCAUCAACUUCAGUAUGCAAUGCUUUGCUGUCAGGUUAUGCCGAACAUGGUUUCCUAAAAGAUGCAGAGGAGCUGUUUGGUCGGAUGCAUAGACGGGACCUUGUUUCUUGGAAUGUCAUGAUCACAGGCUAUACGCGGGCUGGGAUGAUGGAGGUUGCACAGAGUCUCUUUGAUGAGAUGCCCGAAAAGGACACGGUAUCUUGGACAACCAUUGUGCGUGGGUAUUUGCAGAAUGGAGAUGUUGAUGCUGCAUGGAAGGUGUUCCAGGACAUGCCUGAUCGUGAUGUCCUUGCUUGGAACACGAUGAUGGGUGGUUUCGUGAUGAGUGAGAGGUUGGAUGAUGCGUUGAGAUUGUUCGCGGACAUGCCUGAUAGGGAUCUGGUAUCAUGGAAUACAAUCUUGCAGGGCUACAUCCAACGAGGGGACAUGGAUAGUGCAAAUACAUGGUUUCGGAGAAUGCCAGAGAAAAGUGAGACAUCAUGGAACACGUUGAUCUCUGGGUACAAAGAUGAAGGAGCACUAAGUUUGCUGUCGGAAAUGACUCGAGGAGGAUACAGACCAGACCAGGCCACGUGGAGUGUUGUUAUUUCUAUCUGUUCCUCUCUUGUUGCUCUUGGAUGUGGAAGAAUGGUGCACGUUUGCACAAUCAAAACUGGUUUUGAGCAUGAUGCUUUGGUGAUGAGCUCAUUGAUAUCUAUGUACUCCAAAUGUGGGCUAAUUAUUGAAGCUUCCCAAGUUUUCCAGCUGAUUUUGCAACGGGAUACAGUGACAUGGAAUGCCAUGAUUGCGACAUAUGCUUAUCACGGUCUGGCUGCUGAAGCUCUUGAACUCUUUGACAGGAUGACCAAAGAUGGAUUUGGCCCAGAUCAUGCAACUUUUCUGAGUGUGUUGUCUGCUUGUGCACACAAAGGCUAUCUAUAUGAAGGUUGGCACUAUUUUAGAAGUAUGCAAGAAGAUUGGAAUUUGAUUCCAAGAUCUGAUCACUAUUCGUGCAUGGUUGAUCUCUUAGGAAGAUCAGGUUUUAUACACCAGGCUUAUGAUUUUACCAGACAAAUUCCUUCUGACCUUCAAAUAAAUGCUUGGGAGACACUGUUUAGCGCAUGCAAUGCUCAUGGGGAUAUCCAGCUUGGAGAACAUAUAGCCAAAAAUGUCCUUCAGUCUAGACCUUCUGAUGGUGGAAUGUAUACACUCUUGUCAAACAUAUAUGCUGCCAAAGAGAUGUGGAGCAGUGCUGCAAGUGUUAGAGGUCUUAUGAAAGAGCGGGGGUUGAAAAAGGAGACUGGGUGUAGUUGGAUUGAGCUGAAGGGGGAUGUUGUUUCCUUCUCAUCGAAUGAUAAUGCACAUCAUCUGAUUGAGCAGAUAUGCCGAGAAGUUGAUACUAUUUCUGUCUUGAUAGAAGAGGCAAGUUGAACUGCGGCAUCCUUUUAUCGAUCAUCCUUUGGUAUAGUUAUCAAAAGGAUUUCAGAUGGUGUCUUCGAGAUCAUUCACAACCUUCAUGGCCUCAAACAUUGAUGUAUGGUAGAAGCCAGGAAUGCCCAAUUGAAAGUCCUUGAAAGAAUUACAGGGUUCUGCCAUGCUGGUCUGCUGGAGCUCAGUUGAUUCUUUUGUGGAGAUUCCUUCAAGAUCGUAAUCAAGAAAUUCAAAUCAACAUAAUGUGACAUCCUUUGAAACCUCGGUGGGUGGCCAUGGCUGAGGAAAUAAGGCAAAGUGAGGGUAGGGGAAAAGUCUACUUAUGAACCAAUAGCAGCAUGUUCACACGAUACAUGUAAUGAUGUAACUGUCAUAACAGACAAGAAAUUCCCCACCACAGCAACUGGUGACCACACAGUUGCAAAUUGGAUAUCUGCUAGAA
This is an RNA transcript of Phragmites australis (common reed), 2478 nucleotides long. It is a transcript of the gene named protein LPA3, with no coding region annotated. Lineage: Eukaryota; Viridiplantae; Streptophyta; Magnoliopsida; Poales; Poaceae. The transcript is spliced from 3 exons. The record is from RefSeq and is a predicted model, not a curated record.